CCUACGGGUGGCAGCAGUGAGGAAUAUUGGUCAAUGGCCGUAAGUCUGAACCAGCCAUGUCGCGUGAGGGAAGACUGCCCUAUGGGUUGUAAACCUCUUUUAUGCGGGGAUAAAGGUGUCUACGUGUGGCUGUUUGCAGGUACCGCACGAAUAAGGACCGGCUAAUUCCGUGCCAGCAGCCGCGGUAAUACGGAAGGUCCGGGCGUUAUCCGGAUUUAUUGGGUUUAAAGGGAGCGUAGGCCGGUCUUUAAGCGUGCGGUGAAAUUUUGUGGCUCAACCGGAAAAUUGCAAUUGAUACUGGCAGUCUUGAGUACAGUUGAGGUAGGCGGAAUGCGUGGUGUAGCGGUGAAAUGCUUAGAUAUCACGAAGAACCCCGAUUGCGAAGGCAGCUUACUAAACUGUGACUGACAUUGAGGCACGAAAGUGUGGGUAUCAAACAGGAUUAGAUACCCGAGUAGUC
Molecule: ribosomal RNA, 460 nt
Filed under: uncultured bacterium
Lineage: Bacteria
Description: partial 16S ribosomal RNA
Rfam family: Bacterial small subunit ribosomal RNA
Source: RNAcentral